CCUACGGGCGGCUGCAGUGGGGAAUAUUGGACAAUGGGCGAAAGCCUGAUCCAGCCAUGCCGCGUAUGUGAAGAAGGCCUUCGGGUUGUAAAGCACUUUCAGUGGGGAAGAAAGCCUUGGGGCUAAUACCCUCGAGGAAGGACAUCACCCACAGAAGAAGCACCGGCUAACUCCGUGCCAGCAGCCGCGGUAAUACGGAGGGUGCGAGCGUUAAUCGGAAUUACUGGGCGUAAAGCGCGCGUAGGCGGUCUGAUAAGCCGGUUGUGAAAGCCCCGGGCUCAACCUGGGAACGGCAUCCGGAACUGUCAGGCUAGAGUGCAGGAGAGGAAGGUAGAAUUCCCGGUGUAGCGGUGAAAUGCGUAGAGAUCGGGAGGAAUACCAGUGGCGAAGGCGGCCUUCUGGACUGACACUGACGCUGAGGUGCGAAAGCGUGGGUAGCAAACAGGAUUAGAUACCCUGGUAGUC
RNAcentral lists this ribosomal RNA (465 nucleotides) under Vreelandella stevensii. Its description in RNAcentral is "partial 16S ribosomal RNA". It matches the Rfam family "Bacterial small subunit ribosomal RNA", at positions 338 to 795 of the family's 1533-position model. Lineage: Bacteria; Pseudomonadati; Pseudomonadota; Gammaproteobacteria; Oceanospirillales; Halomonadaceae. The record is from RNAcentral.